This 396-nucleotide long non-coding RNA is filed under the name Salvia miltiorrhiza (redroot sage). RNAcentral describes it as "long non-coding RNA (SMIL_LNC009475)". Lineage: Eukaryota; Viridiplantae; Streptophyta; Magnoliopsida; Lamiales; Lamiaceae. The record is from RNAcentral.
GGUCAUGUACAAAAAUAGAGUUUAAAAUGUUACAAUUGUAAAAUUGAUGGCGGGGUCAUGUACAAAAAUAGAAAGUAAGAAGAUUGUGGUAAACUUUUUGGGGACACCCCAAAAGAGAAAUUGGGGCAAAAUUUUUGGAGGCGGAGGGAGUAUUUUUUUUUUUAAUUUAUUUUUUAAUGGAUUGAAACAAUUAUUAUUUCUUCAAUUCUCAAUCUCUACUAAGACUAUUAUCCAAAUCUUGCUAAUAUUUGAAUUUUAUUAGUUUUUUAUUCUCGUUUUUAAAUUUUUUGCAAUUAUUUAAUUUAUAUUUUAUAUAAUUAAAAUUAUUAUGAUCAAAGGUAAUAAUUAGCUAAUUAUAUAUGUUAUGAUUGAAGUGGUCAUUGAUCAACCACCAAC